This 1609-nucleotide ribosomal RNA is filed under the name Salmonella enterica. RNAcentral describes it as "partial 23S ribosomal RNA". It matches the Rfam family "Bacterial large subunit ribosomal RNA", at positions 1211 to 2803 of the family's 2925-position model. The record is from RNAcentral. Lineage: Bacteria; Pseudomonadati; Pseudomonadota; Gammaproteobacteria; Enterobacterales; Enterobacteriaceae.
ACUCAGGUGUUGUUGGGUAGGGGAGCGUUCUGUAAGCCUGUGAAGGUGGCCUGUGAGGGUUGCUGGAGGUAUCAGAAGUGCGAAUGCUGACAUAAGUAACGAUAAAGCGGGUGAAAAGCCCGCUCGCCGGAAGACCAAGGGUUCCUGUCCAACGUUAAUCGGGGCAGGGUGAGUCGACCCCUAAGGCGAGGCCGAAAGGCGUAGUCGAUGGGAAACGGGUUAAUAUUCCCGUACUUGGUGUUACUGCGAAGGGGGGACGGAGAAGGCUAUGUUGGCCGGGCGACGGUUGUCCCGGUUUAAGCGUGUAGGUGUGUGUUCCAGGUAAAUCCGGUUCACUUUAACACUGAGGCGUGAUGACGAGGCACUACGGUGCUGAAGCAACAAAUGCCCUGCUUCCAGGAAAAGCCUCUAAGCAUCAGGUAACAUCAAAUCGUACCCCAAACCGACACAGGUGGUCAGGUAGAGAAUACCAAGGCGCUUGAGAGAACUCGGGUGAAGGAACUAGGCAAAAUGGUGCCGUAACUUCGGGAGAAGGCACGCUGACACGUAGGUGAAGUGAUUUACUCAUGGAGCUGAAGUCAGUCGAAGAUACCAGCUGGCUGCAACUGUUUAUUAAAAACACAGCACUGUGCAAACACGAAAGUGGACGUAUACGGUGUGACGCCUGCCCGGUGCCGGAAGGUUAAUUGAUGGGGUCAGCGCAAGCGAAGCUCCUGAUCGAAGCCCCGGUAAACGGCGGCCGUAACUAUAACGGUCCUAAGGUAGCGAAAUUCCUUGUCGGGUAAGUUCCGACCUGCACGAAUGGCGUAAUGAUGGCCAGGCUGUCUCCACCCGAGACUCAGUGAAAUUGAACUCGCUGUGAAGAUGCAGUGUACCCGCGGCAAGACGGAAAGACCCCGUGAACCUUUACUAUAGCUUGACACUGAACAUUGAGCCUUGAUGUGUAGGAUAGGUGGGAGGCUUUGAAGCGUGGACGCCAGUCUGCGUGGAGCCGACCUUGAAAUACCACCCUUUAAUGUUUGAUGUUCUAACGUGGACCCGUGAUCCGGGUUGCGGACAGUGUCUGGUGGGUAGUUUGACUGGGGCGGUCUCCUCCUAAAGAGUAACGGAGGAGCACGAAGGUUGGCUAAUCCUGGUCGGACAUCAGGAGGUUAGUGCAAUGGCAUAAGCCAGCUUGACUGCGAGCGUGACGGCGCGAGCAGGUGCGAAAGCAGGUCAUAGUGAUCCGGUGGUUCUGAAUGGAAGGGCCAUCGCUCAACGGAUAAAAGGUACUCCGGGGAUAACAGGCUGAUACCGCCCAAGAGUUCAUAUCGACGGCGGUGUUUGGCACCUCGAUGUCGGCUCAUCACAUCCUGGGGCUGAAGUAGGUCCCAAGGGUAUGGCUGUUCGCCAUUUAAAGUGGUACGCGAGCUGGGUUUAGAACGUCGUGAGACAGUUCGGUCCCUAUCUGCCGUGGGCGCUGGAGAACUGAGGGGGGCUGCUCCUAGUACGAGAGGACCGGAGUGGACGCAUCACUGGUGUUCGGGUUGUCAUGCCAAUGGCACUGCCCGGUAGCUAAAUGCGGAAGAGAUAAGUGCUGAAAGCAUCUAAGCACGAAACUUGCCCCGAG